CAAAAGGACAAAUAAUGAAUGAUUUCAUUUAUAUGAGCAGGUCCCAGCUGUCAUGGGGCUCCAGGGAAAGGAAGCCCAAGACCUCACAAAUGAGGUAUUAACCCUUGGGAUGAUCUGGCUUCCUGCAGAACCUAGAAUUUCCACAACCCCAGCAGGCCAAAACCUUUUGGGCUUCAAGAAGGGGAGUGAGGUAAUAAAACAAGUCAGUUGAAUAGGAGGCGACUCCCAACCCAGGUAAGAGCCACCUCCUGUAUUUUCACCCUUUCAGCCUCUGGCCACUGUAACUGGAAGCUCCUCCCAC
Molecule: long non-coding RNA, 301 nt
Filed under: Homo sapiens (human)
Lineage: Eukaryota; Metazoa; Chordata; Mammalia; Primates; Hominidae
Description: HSALNT0030883
Source: RNAcentral